Molecule: ribosomal RNA, 497 nt
Filed under: uncultured bacterium
Lineage: Bacteria
Description: partial 16S ribosomal RNA
Rfam family: Bacterial small subunit ribosomal RNA
Source: RNAcentral
GACGAACGCUGGCGGCGUGCCUAAUACAUGCAAGUAGAACGCUGAAGAGAGGAGCUUGCUCUUCUUGGAUGAGUCGCGCACGGGUGAGUAACGCGUAGGUAACCUGCCUGGUAGCGGGGGAUAACUAUUGGAAACGAUAGCUAAUACCGCAUAAAAUUGAUUAUUGCAUGAUAGUUAAUUGAAAGAUGCAACUGCAUCACUACCAGAUGGACCUGCGUUGUAUUAGCUAGUUGGUGAGGUAACGGCUCACGAAGGCGACGAUACAUAGCCGACCUGAGAGGGUGAUCAGCCACACUGGGACUGAGACACGGCCCAGACUCACUCGGGAGGCGGCAGGAGGGAUACUUGGGCAAGGGGGGGAACCCUGACCGAGCAACGCCGCGGGAGGGAAGAAGGUUGUCGGAUCGGAAAGCACUGUUGUAAGGGAAGAACGGGUGUGAGAGUGGAAAGUUCACACUGUGACGGUAUCUGACCAGAAAGGGACGGCUAACUACGUG